This 497-nucleotide ribosomal RNA is filed under the name uncultured bacterium. RNAcentral describes it as "partial 16S ribosomal RNA". It matches the Rfam family "Bacterial small subunit ribosomal RNA", at positions 28 to 507 of the family's 1533-position model. The record is from RNAcentral.
GAUGAACGCUGGCGGCGUGCCUAAUACAUGCAAGUCGAGCGAACAGACGAGGAGCUUGCUCCUCUGACGUUAGCGGCGGACGGGUGAGUAACACGUGGAUAACCUACCUAUAAGACUGGGAUAACUUCGGGAACCCGGAGCGAAUACCGGAUAAUAUAUUGAACCGCAUGGUUCAAUAGUGAAAGCCGGUUUUGCUGUCACUUAUAGAUGGAUCCGCGCCGCAUUAGCUAGUUGGCAAGGUAACGGCUUACCAAGGCAACGAUGCGUAGCCGACCUGAGAGGGUGAUCGGCCACACUGGAACUGAGACACGGUCCAGACUCCUACGGGAGGCAGCAGUAGGGAAUCUUCCGCAAUGGGCGAAAGCCUGACGGAGCAACGCCGCGUGAGGGAUGAAGGUCUUCGGAUCGUAAAACUCUGUUAUUAGGGAAGAACAAAUGUGUAAGUAACUAUGCACGUCUUGACGGUACCUAAUCAGAAAGCCACGGCUAACUACGUA